Molecule: ribosomal RNA, 468 nt
Filed under: Triticum aestivum (bread wheat)
Lineage: Eukaryota; Viridiplantae; Streptophyta; Magnoliopsida; Poales; Poaceae
Description: partial small subunit ribosomal RNA
Source: RNAcentral
AUGGGAUCAAUCGGGCGUACAUCGCCCUGCUCCCGAAAACUGCCGGUGUGCCGACGCCGGGGGGUUCUGCCCAGUCUCCCUCCAAAACGCCGACGUCAAGAUCCUCUACCGCGGGUUGACCACGCGGCUGCAGAGGCAGAUCAGCCUGCUGAUCGACGAAGACCAGUCCGGAUUCAUCCCCGGCAGGAGCAUCGCCGAGACUUCGUCUAUGCGGCCGAGGUGGUUCAGUGCUGCUACAAGAGAGUUGCCCCCACCCUUGUGUUCAAGCUGGACUUUGCUAAAGCCUUCGACUGCAUCAACUGGGCGAGCCUGCGAGUGAUCAUGCUGGCGCGUGGGUUCCCCGCGCUCUGGUGUGACUGGAUGGAUUUGAUCCUCAAGUCCUCGCGUUCCGCUGUCCUUCUCAAUGGCGUGCCUGGGAAGUGGUUCCAGACUCGCUGCGGGCUGCGGCAGGGGGACCCGAUCUCCCCC